This 467-nucleotide ribosomal RNA is filed under the name uncultured bacterium. RNAcentral's name for it is "partial 16S ribosomal RNA". It matches the Rfam family "Bacterial small subunit ribosomal RNA", at positions 28 to 507 of the family's 1533-position model. The record is from RNAcentral.
GGUGAACGCUGGCGGCGUGCCUAAGACAUGCAAGUCGAGCGGGGCAGGUUUAUACCUGUUCAGCGGCGGACGGGUGAGUAACGCGUGGGUGACCUACCCGGAAGAGGCGGACAACCUGGGGAAACCCAGGCUAAUCCGCCAUGUGGUCCUGUCCUGUGGGGCAGGACUAAAGGGGCGACCCGCUUCCGGAUGGGCCCGCGUCCCAUCAGCUAGUUGGUGGGGUAAAGGCCCACCAAGGCGACGACGGGUAGCCGGGCUGAGAGGAUGGCAGGCCACAGGGGCACUGAGACACGGGCCCCACUCCGACGGGAGGCAGCAGUGAGGAAGCUGCCGCAAUGGACGGAAGUCUGACGGAGCGACGCCGCGUGGAGGAGGAAGCCCUUCGGGGUGUAAACUCCUGAACUGGGGACGAAAGCCCCGUGUAGGGGGAUGACGGUACCCAGGUAAUAGCGCCGGCCAACUCCGUG